CUGACAAUAAGGAGCGAAAGCGUGGGGAGCGAACAGGAUUAGAUACCUGGUAGUCCACCCCGUAAACGAUGAGUGCUAAGUGUUAGGGGGUUUCCGCCCCUUAGUGCUGCAGCUAACGCAUUAAGCACUCCGCCUGGGGAGUACGGUCGCAAGACUGAAACUCAAAGGAAUUGACGGGGGCCCGCACAAGCGGUGGAGCAUGUGGUUUAAUUCGAAGCAACGCGAAGAACCUUACCAGGUCUUGACAUCUUCUGACAACCCUAGAGAUAGGGGUUUCCCUUCGGGGACCGAGCAACGAGCAAAUUC
Molecule: ribosomal RNA, 306 nt
Filed under: Bacillus pumilus
Lineage: Bacteria; Bacillati; Bacillota; Bacilli; Caryophanales; Bacillaceae
Description: bacterial SSU rRNA
Rfam family: Bacterial small subunit ribosomal RNA
Source: RNAcentral